Molecule: long non-coding RNA, 702 nt
Organism: Panicum hallii
Lineage: Eukaryota; Viridiplantae; Streptophyta; Magnoliopsida; Poales; Poaceae
Exons: 2
Source: RefSeq, a predicted model, not a curated record
AUCCUCUUCCUUGUUCGGCGGCGGCUCCUCGAGCUUGGCCAGCGGCCUCCCUGCGGUCAUCCUCCAUCUCUCUGUAACCGCGCCACCACCUCAAGAUCUUCGCUGCUAGUCCUUGGAGCUCGUCGCUACUCUAUCCUCACCGCUGCGGUGUCCGUGACUCAGAAUUCAUCUAUCCCGUCACCUGACCGGUCCUUCACCCCGUGCUGGGAGAUGGAAUCCAUUGUUGUGCCCUACCUUUUCCGUUUUAAUCAUCUUUCGGUUUUUUGUGCUGUGGGAAUUCGAUUUCUUUUCAAAAUCUUCUCUUUCUUUUCCUCAGAGCAUCAGUGAUGUUACAUCCAUAUUUACUCAUCCUUGCACUUUGAGCUGCGCGGUGAAGAAAUCAUUGGGGAUUGUUGUCUGAGAUGCUCUCGUACCUUUUCCUCUGUUUUUUGGCUAUUUUUUAGUUUCUUGGUGGCGCGGAUUGGCGAAUUUCGACACUUGGAUUCAGUUUCUGGCUGAAUCUCGCAUUGAAUCAAACCAAGCGCACACUCGCCCUCCAGGAGACCGGCUAAUCAGACACUAAAAGAUUUGGCAUGAGUGAAGCAAAUAUUUUGGCGGCUGAUGUUUAUUUUUUCUGGAACACCAUUGUUGCCACAUUCAUCCUUGCACUUUGUGUUUCUGUCUGUGGAUUUUCUAAAUUCUGAAACUUGGAGCCAGGAUCAA